RNAcentral lists this long non-coding RNA (429 nucleotides) under Parus major (Great Tit). Its description in RNAcentral is "lncRNA (ENSPMJG00000007963.1)". The record is from RNAcentral. Lineage: Eukaryota; Metazoa; Chordata; Aves; Passeriformes; Paridae.
UUUUUCCACUUUUUUUUUCUGUUUCAGAGAAUUCAGGAACUGGGCUUUGGUUGACAAAGAAUAAACAACCCUAUCCAGGUCUAGAGGGCCAGGUCUUCUCAUCCAUGGGCACACACCCUGCUGCAGGUUCUGGACAGUCAUGGGGAACUCACCUGGAGGUUAACUCAGAGGUGCUCAGCACUGUGUCCCACGGGUGCUUAAUCAUUUCAAGGAUACUCAGUGUUCUCACUUGGGAAGGAAUAGCCAGUACUUUUGCCCUGCUUGCCUUCUUCAGAGCAUUUGUAAUUUUAGAAUCCUCAGUGGAGAAGAAGAUGCAGACAGCUUUGAUUCAUGCUGAUACGGCAGAUUUUCUGCUGCUUUUCCACAAAACAUUUCCUUCAUUUGGAAGAAAGGUCCUGAUCCCUGGGCAGAUAAAUUUGCUGCUUCUGC